UACGUAGGUGGCAAGCGUUGUCCGGAAUUAUUGGGCGUAAAGCGCGCGCAGGUGGUUUCUUAAGUCUGAUGUGGAAGCCCACGGCUCAACCGUGGAGGGUCAUUGGAAACUGGGGAACUUGAGUGCAGAAGAGGAAAGUGGAAUUCCAAGUGUAGCGGUGAAAUGCGUAGAGAUUUGGAGGAACACCAGUGGCGAAGGCGACUUUCUGGUCUGUAACUGACACUGAGGCGCGAAAGCGUGGGGAGCAAACAGG
This 253-nucleotide ribosomal RNA is filed under the name uncultured bacterium. Its description in RNAcentral is "partial 16S ribosomal RNA". It matches the Rfam family "Bacterial small subunit ribosomal RNA", at positions 524 to 776 of the family's 1533-position model. The record is from RNAcentral.